GGCCUCCUGGAGGGCAACUACUUCAGCUGCCUUUUUUUUUAGGCGAGCGACCUCGGUCCGACGGUGCUCCUCCACCUGGAUGGCAUCCCUCCUUGCCCGAUUCGUCACCUCGAUAUUGGUGAGGAGCUGGUGCCCAAUUUGCAAGGGCGGCUAGGGGAUCAGAACAAGGGUCGAAUAGCCGGUUAAAUGAAGAUUUGUUUACCUCGAGAAAGGACCCUAGGGAGUCCCAAACCUGCUGCUC
Molecule: long non-coding RNA, 241 nt
Filed under: Elaeis guineensis (African oil palm)
Lineage: Eukaryota; Viridiplantae; Streptophyta; Magnoliopsida; Arecales; Arecaceae
Description: long non-coding RNA (EGUI_LNC068023)
Source: RNAcentral